AAAUAUGAGUUCUGAAUCGAAGACAAACGCUGAAACUGGCCACCAAAAAUGUUUUCCUUCAAAGCGUGUCCAAAACAGCAGCUCAAUUUUGGCACGUUUCUGGAUCCCAUAGGCAGGACCUCCGAGCUUUCCUGAUCCAGAAGUUACAUAUGUUGGAAGAAUACUGCAUUUACUUAGUCCAAAUUGAUCCAAGCCUGUCAUAUUUAAAAAAACAACUCUUAUUUUUAAGGCUAUAGCCCAGAAAAAUUAAAUUAGAAUCUUUGGGGUUGGACUCCAACAUCACCAGUAUUUUUUGAAGGUUGUGCCUGCCAAAUGUGCUGUCAAGGUUGAGAACUACUAUGUUAGGCUCAGUGCCCCAGAAUGCGAUUGUAUUUGGAGAUAAGGCAUUUACAGAGAUAACUGAGAUAAAAUGAAGUCUUAUGAGUGGGUCCUAAACCAAUAUGACUGAAAUUCUUAUAAUAAGAGAAGAUUAAGACACAGACAUGCACAGAGGAGAGACUAUAUAAAGACACAGAGAGAAGAUGGCCAUCUAGAAGCCAACACAUCAGAAUGUAAUUAGCCCUGCUAAGACCUUGAUCUUGGACUUUUCACCUCUAGAACUGUGAGAAAAUAAGUUUGUUUUGUUUAAGCCAUUCAGUCUGUGGUAAUUGUUA
This is a long non-coding RNA of Prionailurus viverrinus (fishing cat), 653 nucleotides long. RefSeq lists it as uncharacterized. The transcript has 4 exons. The record is from RefSeq and is a predicted model, not a curated record. Lineage: Eukaryota; Metazoa; Chordata; Mammalia; Carnivora; Felidae.